UACAGAGGGGGCAAGCGUUAUUCGGAAUUAUUGGGCGUAAAGGGCGCGUAGGCGGCCUAGCAAGUGGAAGGUGAAAUCCCUCGGCUUAACCGAGGAACUGCCCUCCAAACUGCUUGGCUUGAGACCGGGAGAGGUGAGUGGAAUUCCCAGUGUAGCGGUGAAAUGCGUAGAUAUUGGGAGGAACACCAGUGGCGAAGGCGGCUCACUGGACCGGUACUGACGCUGAGGCGCGAAAGCGUGGGGAGCAAACAGG
RNAcentral lists this ribosomal RNA (253 nucleotides) under uncultured bacterium. RNAcentral describes it as "partial 16S ribosomal RNA". It matches the Rfam family "Bacterial small subunit ribosomal RNA", at positions 524 to 776 of the family's 1533-position model. The record is from RNAcentral.